GACGAACGCUGGCGGCGUGCUUAACACAUGCAAGUCGAACGGAAAGACCCUGCUUUUGUGGGGUUCUCGAGUGGCGAACGGGUGAGUAACACGUGAGUAACCUGCCCUUGACUUUCGGAUAACUUCAGGAAACUGGGGCUAAUACCAGAUAGGAGCUCCUGCUGCAGUGUGGGGGUUGGAAAGUUUCGGCGGGUGGGGAUGGACUCGCGGCUUAUCAGCUUGUUGGUGGGGUAGGUGCUUACCAAGGCUUUGACGGGUAGCCGGCCUGAGAGGGUGACCGGCCACAAUGGGACUGAGAUACGGACCAGACUGCUACAGGAGGCAGCAGUGGCGAAUAUUGCACAAUGGGCGCAAGCCUGAUGAAGAAACGCCGCGUGCGGGAUGACGGUCUUCUGGUUGUAAACCGCUUUAGGCUAUGACGAAGCGUGAGUGACGGUAAUGGGUAAAGAAGCACCGGCUAACUACGUG
Molecule: ribosomal RNA, 468 nt
Filed under: uncultured bacterium
Lineage: Bacteria
Description: partial 16S ribosomal RNA
Rfam family: Bacterial small subunit ribosomal RNA
Source: RNAcentral